RNAcentral lists this ribosomal RNA (253 nucleotides) under uncultured prokaryote. RNAcentral describes it as "partial 16S ribosomal RNA". It matches the Rfam family "Bacterial small subunit ribosomal RNA", at positions 525 to 777 of the family's 1533-position model. The record is from RNAcentral.
ACGGGGGGGGCAAGCGUUGUUCGGAAUCAUUGGGCGUAAAGGGUGCGUAGGUGGUGCUGUAAGUCUGACGUGAAAUCUCUGGGCUUAACCCAGAAUCCGCGCCAGGAACUGCAGUGCUCGAGUGUGGGAGAGGAGAGUGGAAUUCCCGGUGUAGCGGUGAAAUGCGUAGAUAUCAGGAGGAACACCUGCGGUGUAGACGGCUUACUGGACCAUAACUGACGCUGAGGCACGAAAGCGUGGGUAGCAAACAGGA